UUGGAGGGCAAGUCUGGUGCCAGCAGCCGCGGUAAUUCCAGCUCCAAUAGCGUAUAUUAAAGUUGUUGCAGUUAAAAAGCUCGUAGUUGAAUUUCGGGGUCAGCAGGUUGGUCGUGCCACUGGUAUGCACUGGCUUCGCUGAUUCCUCCUUUCUGAAGAACUGUAAUGCCAUUAAUUUGGUGUUGCAGGGAAACAGGACUGUUACUUUGAAAAAAUUAGAGUGUUUAAAGCAGGCUUUGGCUUGAAUACAUUAGCAUGGAAUAAUGAAAUAGGACGUUCGAUCCUAUUUUGUUGGUUUCUAGGAUUGACGUCAUGAUUAAUAGGGAUAGUUGGGGGCAUUAGUAUUCAAUUGUCAGAGGUGAAAUUCUUGGAUUUAUUGAAGACUAACUACUGCGAAAGCAUUUGCCAAGGAUGUUUUCAUUAAUCAAGAACGAAAGUUAGGGGAUCGAAGACGAUCAGAUACCGUCGUAGUCUUAACCAUAAACUAUGCCGACUAGGGAUCGGAUGAUGUUAAUUUUUUAAUGACUCAUUCGGCGCCUUACGGGAAAC
RNAcentral lists this ribosomal RNA (549 nucleotides) under uncultured Glomeromycotina. RNAcentral describes it as "SSU rRNA". It matches the Rfam family "Eukaryotic small subunit ribosomal RNA", at positions 548 to 1098 of the family's 1831-position model. Lineage: Eukaryota; Fungi; Glomeromycota. The record is from RNAcentral.